UACGGAGGGUGCAAGCGUUACUCGGAAUCACUGGGCGUAAAGAGCGCGUAGGCGGGAUAGCAAGUCAGAUGUGAAAUCCUAUGGCUUAACCAUAGAACUGCAUUUGAAACUGUUAUUCUAGAGUAUGGGAGAGGUAGGUGGAAUUCUUGGUGUAGGGGUAAAAUCCGUAGAGAUCAAGAGGAAUACUCAUUGCGAAGGCGGUCUGCUGGACAGCAACUGACGCUGAAGCACGAGAGCGUGGGUAGCGAACAGG
Molecule: ribosomal RNA, 253 nt
Filed under: uncultured Helicobacteraceae bacterium
Lineage: Bacteria; Pseudomonadati; Campylobacterota; Epsilonproteobacteria; Campylobacterales; Helicobacteraceae
Description: partial 16S ribosomal RNA
Rfam family: Bacterial small subunit ribosomal RNA
Source: RNAcentral